This 253-nucleotide ribosomal RNA is filed under the name uncultured bacterium. RNAcentral describes it as "partial 16S ribosomal RNA". It matches the Rfam family "Bacterial small subunit ribosomal RNA", at positions 524 to 776 of the family's 1533-position model. The record is from RNAcentral.
UACGGAGGGGGCUAUCGUUGUUCGGAAUUACUGGGCGUAAAGCGCGCGUAGGCGGACCUGCAAGUCGGGUGUGAAAGCCCGAGGCUCAACCUCGGAACUGCCUUCGAUACUGCGGGUCUCGAGUCCGGGAGAGGUGAGUGGAAUUCCUAGUGUAGAGGUGAAAUUCGUAGAUAUUAGGAAGAACACCAGUGGCGAAGGCGGCUCACUGGCCCGGUACUGACGCUGAGGUGCGAAAGCGUGGGGAGCAAACAGG